GAUGAACGCUAGCGGCAGGCCUAAUACGUGCAAGUCGAGGGGCAUCGCAGGUAGCAAUACUGGGCGGCGACCGGCAAACGGGUGCGGAACACGUACGUAACCUUCCUCUAAAUGGAGCAUAGCCCGAAGAAAUUCGGAUUAAUACUCCAUAAGAUUGUGGAGUGGCAUCACUCAGCAAUUAAAGAAUUUCGUUAGAGAUG
Molecule: ribosomal RNA, 200 nt
Filed under: uncultured bacterium
Lineage: Bacteria
Description: partial 16S ribosomal RNA
Rfam family: Bacterial small subunit ribosomal RNA
Source: RNAcentral